GGGCGCGUAGCUCAGUGGUAGAGCGGUCGUCUUAUAAGCGACUGGUCGCAGGUUCGAUCCCUGCCGUGCCCA
RNAcentral lists this transfer RNA (72 nucleotides) under bacterium. RNAcentral describes it as "tRNA-Ile". It matches the Rfam family "tRNA". From Rfam's summary of the family: Transfer RNA (tRNA) molecules are approximately 80 nucleotides in length. The record is from RNAcentral.